GCCGGAGCGGCGGGACGGUCUUACGCGGAGCACUCAAAAUGCUCUGGGCGAAAGCCCAUGAGGGUUCGAAUCCCUCCUCCGGCA
This 84-nucleotide transfer RNA is filed under the name Chloroflexota bacterium. Its description in RNAcentral is "Chloroflexi bacterium tRNA-Leu". It matches the Rfam family "tRNA". From Rfam's summary of the family: Transfer RNA (tRNA) molecules are approximately 80 nucleotides in length. Their secondary structure includes four short double-helical elements and three loops (D, anti-codon, and T loops). The record is from RNAcentral. RNAcentral also lists the same sequence under 3 other names. Lineage: Bacteria; Bacillati; Chloroflexota.